UUAAAGCACACUUACAAAGAGGGAAAGUUAGACUUUGUCAGAUCUUUAUUGAGCAUUUGUUCUCAUUUGUUUAUGGCCUGGCGAUAGGACAAGGAGCAUUCAUCCUGAUUUUCGUGCAGGGCAUUUAUGCAUCUGAGAAGUGCACUGUUGGUGACCAGCACAGUAAUCAUUCACAGAAGGAGCAGAUUAGGCGAGAAAUCUGUUUCUGGACUGGAUCACCUCAGACUGCAGGGUGGCUGUGGGAGAAUGGAACAUUUCUCCAUACAAGUUAACCAAAAACGUCCCUGCACACAGAAAUACAGCAGGUAAAGAAAGAGCAGUUCAGCCUAAGCUCAACUUUUUCCCUGACAGUGAUUUUUUUUUAACAUGCAUGGGAUUUUUAUUUCUGUUAACAUGGAGCAGGGGAAGGGUACAGAAGCUUGCUGGCCACCUCCCCUUGCUCUCCUUGUGAAGCAGCCAAGGCUUCAGCCACUCUGCGCUUUAAUGGUUAACAACCACCCCAACAGAGCAGCCGUUUCUAGAGCACCAGGGAAGGUUGCAAAAGGACUUCACUUUCCUAUGUUGCCAACUCAGAAGAACUGAAGUGAGUGAGCAGAUUUGAACCUUCAGAAAGAGGGCUCAGAAAUGAGUAAGAGUAAGAAGAUUCUCUACCCUUUUCUGUCUACCCUGUGGGCUGCUAUAAACUCACUGUGACAGCCAACCCAAUUCCAGUGAGUAAUAACUGACUGAGAGAAAACACACGUGGUUUUGGUCUACCUUCACAGACAGCAGCUUGGGAACAGCAGUCGCAGUCACACUUCCCAGAACAAAGGAAUCUGCCUUAUUUUGACUCAGGCCAUUUGGUACUACCUAGCUCAGUGCUGGUGACAUGGAUUAGUAUUGGCUCUCCAGGAUUCCAGGCAAGAGUCUUUUCAAGAGAUUGGAUUUUGAACUUUUGCAGGCAAAGCAUGUGCCCUACCACUGUGCUAUAGCCCUUCCCGUUUAAAAAAGUAUAUUUUGGACUUCCGGGAAGGGUGACUUAGCCUGUGCCUGCUUUUGAGACGGGCUCCUGCCUCAAAAGAAGCUUAUUCAGAUAUAUCAGUCAGUUUUUUUUUUUUUUUUUUUUUGACUGAUUAAACUUCUCCCGGGUAGGGAGAAACGAAGAGAUUAACCUCAAAGCCUAUUUUUGUUGGGACGACCAGAUCUCAUUAAUUUAUGGGACGAGGUCCAGCCGACGAAGGUGGGACGGAUUUUCAACAACAAGCUCUAUCUGAUAAAGCGAACGUUCAUCUUAUCUUCUAAGAGAGAACGCACUAACAGGCAAGCACCCUUCUUUCUAUAUUUUUCUUUUACUUGACUUAAAUUGUUGCUGUUUAAAAGAGAUUUGCCAGAUUGAUCGGUUUUUGACAUCUCACUGGGGAGCCAUAACUUCUCUCUGCUACUCACUAAUUAAUAGCUUAUCUCUGUUUUUGUUGCAAAAAGCUGUCCUGGAUUUGCAUUCUAAAGAUAUACACAGAAGAGGGAUUUCUAUUCCAGAUUUUUAUUUUGAAGAAUAUUAUAUUGUCUGAGACUACUCUCUUUUUGGUCUAUUUUAUUUUGACGAAUCUGUUUCCUGACGACCGCCAUUAAUUGUUUCGAUCCUGGGAACUGCAUUUUGUUUACUUAAGCAUGGAGAGAUAAGGCUGUCUGCUCUGUUUAUACUGUGAUGUCACCAAGUUUGGAGUAUUAACCCAAUUGUUGCUGAAAUAAGAAGUGGUUUUCCUAUAUUUUUCUUUUAAAAUGGCAAUUAAGAAAGUGGCUGAGAAUCUGGAAAUAACUAUGUUUCAGAAAAUAAUGGAUGAGAUUGAGAUAACGAAACAAAACCUGCGACAGGGUUGUAAGGAGCUGAAAAUUGAAUUGAGUAAAAUGAAGCAGGAGAUUAAAGAUAUAGGGGUCCCUGUGAGAGAGGUGACCCUGGAAGGGGUCCCUGUGAGAGAGGAGACCCCGGAGAUUGGAACAAACGUGGAACAGGAAAAAGAUUUGGAGUCUAUGGACUUUAGAAACAAAAUCUAUUGUUUGGAGACACAGGAGAUUAAAGACAUAGGGGUCCUUGUGAGAGAGGAGACCCUGGAGACUGGAACAGGGGUCCCUGUGAGAGAGGAGACCCUGGAGACUGGAACAGGGGUCCCUGUGAGAGAGGAGAUCCCGGAGAUUGGAACAAACGUGGAACAGGAACAAGAUUUGGAGUCUAUGGACUUUAGAAAUAAAAUCUAUUGUUUGGAACUCAAUGUUAUCUCUGAAGAAAUUAAUGAAGAUUCUAGAGAUAAAGUUAUCAAUGGCAUGGAUAAUCUUCUGGACUGGAAUGAUGUGAUGGAGCCCAAUAUAGAGAAAAUCUAUGGAAUUAAUUGCAGCCAUGUGACAAUGGAAAAACUUUCAAGAGAUGACCCAGUGUAUUUUGAAAAAAAGAACAGAGAUAUGAUUUUACAGCAGUAUUUCAGCAACCUAUUCAGAAUGGAUGGCAAGAAAAUAUUUGGGAUAGAGGUAAUUCCCAUCAGACUCUUACUAUAUGACUAUGGCUUUGACAGCAAGAUUAUUAUGGAAUACUGAUAAUGGAAGAUUGGAUACUGAAAUUACUGGACUUAACAAGACUACUGAAGAUGGAAGAUGGAAAAUGGAACUAAUAGGGAUAAUAGAACAAUGGCUACUGAAAUUACUGAACCUAACAGAUUCUGAUGUGAUGGAUUAAUUGAAAUGUUUAUUUUGACUAUG
Long non-coding RNA from Rhineura floridana, 2727 nucleotides. RefSeq lists it as uncharacterized. Lineage: Eukaryota; Metazoa; Chordata; Lepidosauria; Squamata; Rhineuridae. The record is from RefSeq and is a predicted model, not a curated record. The transcript has 3 exons.